GGGGAUGUAGCUCAGUGAUAGAGCAUUUGCUUCCUUAGCAUAUGUGAGGCCCUGGGAUCAACCCUCAGUACUGCCA
RNAcentral lists this transfer RNA (76 nucleotides) under Heterocephalus glaber (naked mole-rat). It matches the Rfam family "tRNA". Rfam says of the family: Transfer RNA (tRNA) molecules are approximately 80 nucleotides in length. Their secondary structure includes four short double-helical elements and three loops (D, anti-codon, and T loops). Further hydrogen bonds mediate the characteristic L-shaped molecular structure. tRNAs have two regions of fundamental functional importance: the anti-codon, which is responsible for specific mRNA codon recognition, and the 3' end, to which the tRNAs corresponding amino acid is attached (by aminoacyl-tRNA synthetases). tRNAs cope with the degeneracy of the genetic code in two manners: having more than one tRNA (with a specific anti-codon) for a particular amino acid; and 'wobble' base-pairing, i.e. permitting non-standard base-pairing at the 3rd anti-codon position. The record is from Rfam by way of RNAcentral. Lineage: Eukaryota; Metazoa; Chordata; Mammalia; Rodentia; Bathyergidae.